CAGAGGUCCCAAGCGUUGUUCGGAUUCACUGGGCGUAAAGGGUGCGCAGGUGGGUUGGCAAGUUCGAUGUGAAAGCCCCGGGCUUAACCCGGGAAUGGCAUUGGAUACUGUUGAUCUGGAGGGUCGGAGGGGGGACUGGAAUUCUUGGUGUAGCAGUGAAAUGCGUAGAUAUCAAGAGGAACACCAGUGGCGAAGGCGAGUCCCUGGACGAUACCUGACACUGAGGCACGAAAGCCAAGGGAGCAAACAGGAUUAGAUACCCUGGUAGUCUUGGCUGUAAACGGUGCGCAUUUGCUGUAAACGGAAUCGACCCCGUUUGUGGCGAAGCUAACGCGAUAAAUGCGCCGCCUGGGAAGUACGGUCGCAAGAUUA
This 372-nucleotide ribosomal RNA is filed under the name uncultured organism. RNAcentral's name for it is "bacterial SSU rRNA". It matches the Rfam family "Bacterial small subunit ribosomal RNA", at positions 526 to 896 of the family's 1533-position model. The record is from RNAcentral.